RNAcentral lists this ribosomal RNA (1494 nucleotides) under metagenome. RNAcentral describes it as "bacterial SSU rRNA". It matches the Rfam family "Bacterial small subunit ribosomal RNA". The record is from RNAcentral.
AGAGUUUGAUCCUGGCUCAGAACGAACGCUGGCGGCGUGCUUAAUACAUGCAAGUCGAACGUGAAGCUGUAGCAAUACAGUGGAAAGUGGCGAACGGGUGAGUAACACGUAAGUAAUCUACCCCUAGGAUCGGGAUAACCUUGCCAACGCGGGGCUAAUACCGGAUGUGAUCUUUUUGUCGCAUGUUAGAGAGAUUAAAGGAGCGAUCCGCUUAGGGAUGAGCUUGCGCCCCAUUAGUUUGUUGGCGGGGUAACGGCCCACCAAGACUGCGAUGGGUAGCCGGCCUGAGAGGGUGGACGGCCACAUUGGGACUGAGAUACGGCCCAGACUCCUACGGGAGGCAGCAGUAGGGAAUUUUGCGCAAUGGACGAAAGUCUGACGCAGCAACGCCGCGUGAGGGAUGACGGCCUUCGGGUUGUAAACCUCUGUUGGAUGGGAAAAAACGGUAGCAAUACCUUGAUGGUACCAUUCGAGUAAGCACCGGCUAACUACGUGCCAGCAGCCGCGGUAAUACGUAGGGUGCAAGCGUUGUUCGGAAUCACUGGGCGUAAAGGGAGCGUAGGCGGGAUCGUAAGUUAGGAGUUUAAUGCAUGGGCUUAACCCAUGACCUGCUCUUAAUACUGCGGUUCUUGAGUAUGGGAGAGGGCGAUGGAAUUCCAGGUGUAGCGGUGGAAUGCGUAGAUAUCUGGAAGAACACCAGUAGCGAAGGCGGUCGCCUGGCCCAAUACUGACGCUGAGGCUCGAAAGCUAGGGGAGCAAACAGGAUUAGAUACCCUGGUAGUCCUAGCCGUAAACGAUGAACACUAGUUGCCGGAGGAGUCAAUCUUUUCGGUGACGAAGCUAACGCAUUAAGUGUUCCGCCUGGGAAGUACGCCCGCAAGGGUGAAACUCAAAGGAAUUGACGGGGGCCCGCACAAGCGGUGGAGCAUGUGCUUUAAUUCGAUGCAACGCGAAGAACCUUACCUAGACUUGACAUGGGGGUGAAAUUCUGUAGAAAUAUGGAGCCUUCCGCAAGGAACACCCUACACAGGUGCUGCAUGGUUGUCGUCAGCUCGUGUCGUGAGAUGUUGGGUUAAGUCCCGCAACGAGCGCAACCCUCGUCCUUAGUUGCUAACAGGUUAUGCUGAGAACUCUAAGGAGACUGCCUGGUUAACGGGGAGGAAGGUGGGGAUGACGUCAAGUCCUCAUGGCCUUUAUAUCCAGGGCUACACACGUGCUACAAUGGGCUGUACAAAGGGUUGCUAUCCCGCGAGGGGGCGCUAAUCCCAAAAAGCAGUUCUCAGUUCGGAUUGAAGUCUGCAACUCGACUUCAUGAAGGUGGAAUCGCUAGUAAUCGUGGAUCAGCAUGCCACGGUGAAUACGUUCCCGGGCCUUGUACACACCGCCCGUCACACCACGAAAGUCGACUGUACCAGAAGUUGCUGGGCUAACCUCUUCGGAGGAGGCAGGUACCUAAGGUACGGCCGGUAAUUGGGGUGAAGUCGUAACAAGGUA